RNAcentral lists this non-coding RNA (26 nucleotides) under Mus musculus (house mouse). The record is from RNAcentral. Lineage: Eukaryota; Metazoa; Chordata; Mammalia; Rodentia; Muridae.
UCGAAGCCCAGAACAAGAUCCGCGCC